AGGGCGCACGGUGGAUGCCUUGGCACUAGAAGCCGAUGAAGGACGUGACUAACAACGAAAUGCUUUGGGGAGCUGUAAGUGAGCAAUGAUCCAGAGAUGUCCGAAUGGGGGAACCCGGCAGGUAAUGCCUGUCACUCAUUACUGUUAAGGUAAUGUAGAGGAAGACGCAGUGAACUGAAACAUCUAAGUAGCUGCAGGAAGAGAAAGCAAAAGCGAUUGCCUUAGUAGCGGCGAGCGAAACGGCAAGAGGGCAAACCGAAGAGUUUACUCUUCGGGGUUGUAGGACUGCAACGUGGACUUAAAGAUUAUAGAAGAACUACCUGGGAAGGUAGGCCAAAGAGAGUAAUAGCCUCGUAUUCGAAAUAGUCUUUAUACCUAGCAGUAUCCUGAGUACGGCGAGACACGAGAAAUCUCGUCGGAAUCUGGGAGGACCAUCUCCCAACCCUAAAUACUCUCUAGUGACCGAUAGUGAACCAGUACCGUGAGGGAAAGGUGAAAAGCACCCCGGGAGGGGAGUGAAAUAGAACCUGAAACCGUGUGCCUACAACAAGUUCGAGCCCGUUAAUGGGUGAGAGCGUGCCUUUUGUAGAAUGAACCGGCGAGUUACGAUAUGAUGCGAGGUUAAGUUGAAGAGACGGAGCCGUAGGGAAACCGAGUCUUAAUAGGGCGCAUUAGUAUCAUGUCGUAGACCCGAAACCAUGUGACCUACCCAUGAGCAGGUUGAAGGUGAGGUAAAACUCACUGGAGGACCGAACCAGGGCACGUUGAAAAGUGCUUGGAUGACUUGUGGGUAGCGGAGAAAUUCCAAACGAACUUGGAGAUAGCUGGUUCUCUCCGAAAUAGCUUUAGGGCUAGCGUCGAUGUUAAGUCUCUUGGAGGUAGAGCACUGUUUGGGUGAGGGGUCCAUCCCGGAUUACCAAUCUCAGAUAAACUCCGAAUGCCAAUGAGAUAUAAUCGGCAGUCAGACUGCGAGUGCUAAGAUCCGUAGUCGAAAGGGAAACAGCCCAGACCACCAGCUAAGGUCCCAAAAUAUAUGUUAAGUGGAAAAGGAUGUGGGGUUGCACAGACAACUAGGAUGUUAGCUUAGAAGCAGCUAUUCAUUCAAAGAGUGCGUAAUAGCUCACUAGUCGAGUGACCCUGCGCCGAAAAUGUACCGGGGCUAAAACAUAUUACCGAAGCUGUGGAUACCUUUAUAGGUAUGGUAGGAGAGCGUUCUAUGUGCGAAGAAGGUGUACCGUGAGGAGUGCUGGAGCGCAUAGAAGUGAGAAUGCCGGUAUGAGUAGCGAAAGACAGGUGAGAAUCCUGUCCACCGUAAGACUAAGGUUUCCAGGGGAAGGCUCGUCCGCCCUGGGUUAGUCGGGACCUAAGGAGAGACCGAAAGGUGUAUCCGAUGGACAACAGGUUGAUAUUCCUGUACUAGAGUAUAUAGUGAUGGAGGGACGCAGUAGGCUAACUAAACCAGACGAUUGGAAGUGUCUGGCCAAGCAGUGAGGUGUGAUAUGAGUCAAAUGCUUAUAUCUCUAACAUUGAGCUGUGAUGGGGAGCGAAGUUUAGUAGCGAAGUUAGUGAUGUCACACUGCCGAGAAAAGCUUCUAGCGUUAAUUAUACUCUACCCGUACCGCAAACCGACACAGGUAGUCGAGGCGAGUAGCCUCAGGUGAGCGAGAGAACUCUCGUUAAGGAACUCGGCAAAAUGGCCCCGUAACUUCGGGAGAAGGGGCGCUGACUGAUGGUCAGCCGCAGUGAAUAGGCCCAAGCAACUGUUUAUCAAAAACACAGCUCUCUGCUAAAUCGUAAGAUGAUGUAUAGGGGGUGACGCCUGCCCGGUGCUGGAAGGUUAAGAGGAGUGCUUAGCGUAAGCGAAGGUAUGAAUUGAAGCCCCAGUAAACGGCGGCCGUAACUAUAACGGUCCUAAGGUAGCGAAAUUCCUUGUCGGGUAAGUUCCGACCCGCACGAAAGGCGUAAUGAUUUGGGCACUGUCUCAACGAGAGACUCGGUGAAAUUUUAGUACCUGUGAAGAUGCAGGUUACCCGCGACAGGACGGAAAGACCCCAUGGAGCUUUACUGCAGUUUGAUAUUGAGUAUCUGUACCACAUGUACAGGAUAGGUAGGAGCCUAUGACCUCGGGACGCCAGUUUCGAGUGAGGCGUUGUUGGGAUACUACCCUUGUGUUAUGGCUACUCUAACCCAGAUAGGUUAUCCCUAUCGGAGACAGUGUCUGACGGGCAGUUUGACUGGGGCGGUCGCCUCCUAAAAGGUAACGGAGGCGCCCAAAGGUUCCCUCAGAAUGGUUGGAAAUCAUUCGCAGAGUGUAAAGGUAUAAGGGAGCUUGACUGCGAGAGCUACAACUCGAGCAGGGACGAAAGUCGGGCUUAGUGAUCCGGUGGUUCCGUAUGGAAGGGCCAUCGCUCAACGGAUAAAAGCUACCCUGGGGAUAACAGGCUUAUCUCCCCCAAGAGUUCACAUCGACGGGGAGGUUUGGCACCUCGAUGUCGGCUCGUCGCAUCCUGGGGCUGUAGUCGGUCCCAAGGGUUGGGCUGUUCGCCCAUUAAAGCGGCACGCGAGCUGGGUUCAGAACGUCGUGAGACAGUUCGGUCCCUAUCCGUCGCGGGCGUAGGAAAUUUGAGAGGAUCUGCUCCUAGUACGAGAGGACCAGAGUGGACUUACCGCUGGUGUACCAGUUGUUCUGCCAAGAGCAUCGCUGGGUAGCUAUGUAGGGAAGGGAUAAACGCUGAAAGCAUCUAAGUGUGAAGCCCACCUCAAGAUGAGAUUUCCCAUGAUUUU
RNAcentral lists this ribosomal RNA (2784 nucleotides) under Streptococcus thermophilus. Its description in RNAcentral is "bacterial LSU rRNA". It matches the Rfam family "Bacterial large subunit ribosomal RNA". Lineage: Bacteria; Bacillati; Bacillota; Bacilli; Lactobacillales; Streptococcaceae. RNAcentral also lists the same sequence under 1 other name. The record is from RNAcentral.